CAUCUCUUUAAGGUAAUGAUUUAAAGUAUAAUCUGCCCACUGAGUAAUUAAAUGGCCGCAGUAAUUUGACUGUGCAAAGGUAGCAUAAUAAUUAGUUUUUUUAUUGGAAGCUGGAAUGAAGGAUUGGACGAGAGAAUUACUGUCUUUAUUAUAUUUAUUUUGAAUUUUAUUUUUUAGUGAAAAGGCUAAAAUUUUUAAAUUAGACGAGAAGACCCUAAAGAAUUUGAUUUUAAUAAUUUAUUUUAGAAUUUUUUUUAGUUAAAGUUUAAUUGGGGUGAUUUCAAAAUUAAAUUAACUUUUGAUUAUUUGAGCAUAGAUGGUUGUAUUUUUGAAUCAUUAUUGAUUGAAGUUAAUUACCUUAGGGAUAACAGCGUAAUUUUUUUUGUAAGAUCUAAUUAUAGGAAGAGUUUGCGACCUCGAUGUUGGAUUAAAAUAAGGUUUUGGUGAAGGUGCUAGAAUAUUAAGUCUGUUCGACUUUUAAAAUUUUACAUGAUCUGAGU
This 500-nucleotide ribosomal RNA is filed under the name Throscidae sp. UPOL RK0337. Its description in RNAcentral is "partial 16S ribosomal RNA". It matches the Rfam family "Bacterial large subunit ribosomal RNA", at positions 1826 to 2610 of the family's 2925-position model. The record is from RNAcentral. Lineage: Eukaryota; Metazoa; Arthropoda; Insecta; Coleoptera; Throscidae.